AUUGAACGCUGGCGGCAUGCCUAACACAUGCAAGUCGAACGAGUGGCGGACGGGUGAGUAAUGUCUGGGAAACUGCCCGUUGGAGGGGGAUAACUACUGGAAAAGGUAGCUAAUACCGCAUACCCUCGGAUGUGCCCAGCUGGGAUUAGCUAGUAGGUGGGGUAACGGCUCACCUAGGCGACGAUCCCUAGCUGGUCUGAGAGGAUGACCAGCCACACUGGAACUGAGACACGGUCCAGACUCCUACGGGAGGCAGCAGGGGGGAAUAUUGCACAAUGGGCGCAAGCCGGAUGAAGCAAUGCCGCGUGUAUGAAGAAGGCCUUCGGGUUGUAAAGUACUUUCAGCGAGGAGGCGUUACUGGAAGAAGAAGCACCGGCUAACUACGUGCCAGCAGCCGCGGUAAUUC
This 406-nucleotide ribosomal RNA is filed under the name uncultured bacterium. Its description in RNAcentral is "partial 16S ribosomal RNA". It matches the Rfam family "Bacterial small subunit ribosomal RNA", at positions 30 to 526 of the family's 1533-position model. The record is from RNAcentral.